GCUAAGGCCAUGACAGCUGUUCCUCCAACACUGAUGAACACUGUGAGGGAAAACUCCACGAGUCAGGCUCAGGGCUUCCCCAAGGCCAGCCUGCUGAGACAGGUUUUGGGGCCGGAGUCAGGGGACCAGGAGGUUCCCUUUUCCUGCUGGAGAGAAGGACUCUUCCAGGUACCCACACUCCCCCCUCCAUGGAUCGAGUCCAACCUAGAAGUUUCAGCAUGUCAACUUUUAUCGAUGAUGGGUUAUAUAAAACCUCCUACAGUCUCAGAUCUGGAAACCACAGUACAGGAGUACAGCACCCGGAAGCUGAACAGCAGGAAGAAGGCCUCUUCAUUCCUGUUUAGAAGAGAAGGAUCUUGUUGCUUGACUUUUCUUGACUAUUGUCUGGCUUUCAUUGAAAGCUUUGGAAGUUCUACCCUAUGUCCGGCGUCCCAGGUCUUGAUGAACAAAAAGGAGUCAGCACCUAAGUUAAUCUUCCUUCUUCAUUUCCAACCACAGCUCAAGGGUUUUGCUGUCUGUCUUUGGAAAUGACUCAACUAACAGAUGGGGGUGGAAAUCUGCACCACGAAAUUAAUUACGCCGCGUCUUCAGGCUUUGUCCUCUCAUUUACUGAAUCGUGUUUAAUUAACAACUCAAGACUGCACCUCCUUGCAGAUGAGUUUGCAUUUCAUGAGAUCAUAAAAUUAAAGAAAAAGUCUGCCAAGCUCACUGCUUGUUAUAGUCCUUGUCCCCGGCCUGACCCUGAUUAC
RNAcentral lists this long non-coding RNA (749 nucleotides) under Equus caballus (horse). RNAcentral describes it as "lncRNA (ENSECAG00000037419.2)". Lineage: Eukaryota; Metazoa; Chordata; Mammalia; Perissodactyla; Equidae. The record is from RNAcentral.